ACUUUGGUGAGAGUGGCGCACGGGUGCGUAACACGUAUGCNACCUACCUUUAACNGGGAGAUAACCUCNAGAAAUUGUGGCUAAUAUCCCAUAANACUGUGAAAUGGCAUNNUUUUGCAGUUAAAANUCCGGUGGUUAUUGAUGGGCAUGCGCGACAUUAGCUAGUUGGUGAGGUAACGGCCCACCAAGGCUACGAUGUCUAGGGGUUCUGAGAGGAUUAUCCCCCACACUGGUACUGAGACACGGACCAGACUCCUACGGGAGGCAGCAGUAAGGAAUAUUGGUCAAUGGGCGCAAGCCUGAACCAGCCAUGCCGCGUGAAGGAUGACGGCCCUAUGGGUUGUAAACUUCUUUUGUACGGGAAAAAACCACCGGUACGUGUAUCGGUGCUGAUGGUACCGUAAGAAUAAGCAUCGGCUAACUCUGUGCCAGCAGCCGCGGUAAUACGGAGGAUGCAAGCGUUAUCCGGAUUCAUUGGGUUUAAAGGGUGCGUAGGCGGAGUGAUAAGUCAGUGGUGAAAGCCUACAGCUUAACUGUAGAACUGCCAUUGAUACUGUCAUUCUUGAGUAUGGUUGAGGUAGGCGGAAUGUGUCAUGUAGCGGUGAAAUGCUUAGAUAUGACACAGAACACCGAUCGCGAAGGCAGCUUACUGGGCCAUUACUGACGCUGAUGCACGAAAGCGUGGGGAUCGAACAGGAUUAGAUACCCUGGUAGUCCACGCCGUAAACGAUGAUCACUCGAUGUUGCGAUACACAGUUAGCGGCUAAGCAAAAGCAUUAAGUGAUCCACCUGGGGAGUACGGCCGCAAGGCUGAAACUCAAAGGAAUUGACGGGGGCCCGCACAAGCGGAGGAACAUGUGGUUUAAUUCGAUGAUACGCGAGGAACCUUACCUGGGCUUAAAUGUAGAGUGCAUGAAGUAGAAAUAUUUCUUUCCUUCGGGGACUCUUUGCAAGGUGCUGCAUGGUUGUCGUCAGCUCGUGCCGUGAGGUGUCGGGUUAAGUCCCAUAACGAGCGCAACCCUUAUCGUUAGUUGCCAGCGGGUAAUGCCGGGAACUCUAACGAAACUGCCGGUGUAAACCGUGAGGAAGGUGGGGAUGACGUCAAAUCAGCACGGCCCUUAUGUCCGGGCUACACACGUGUUACAAUGGCCGGUACAGAGGGCAGCUACCUGGAGACAGGAUGCGAAUCUCCAAAGCC
RNAcentral lists this ribosomal RNA (1198 nucleotides) under uncultured bacterium. RNAcentral's name for it is "bacterial SSU rRNA". It matches the Rfam family "Bacterial small subunit ribosomal RNA", at positions 83 to 1283 of the family's 1533-position model. The record is from RNAcentral.